CCUACGGGGGGCUGCAGUGGGGAAUAUUGGACAAUGGGGGCAACCCUGAUCCAGCCAUGCCGCGUGUGUGAAGAAGGCCCUCGGGUUGUAAAGCACUUUCAGUGAGGAAGAACGCCUGGUGGUUAAUACCCAUCAGGAAAGACAUCACUCACAGAAGAAGCACCGGCUAACUCCGUGCCAGCAGCCGCGGUAAUACGGAGGGUGCGAGCGUUAAUCGGAAUUACUGGGCGUAAAGCGCGCGUAGGUGGCUUGAUAAGCCGGUUGUGAAAGCCCCGGGCUCAACCUGGGAACGGCAUCCGGAACUGUCAAGCUAGAGUGCAGGAGAGGAAGGUGGAAUUGCCGGUGUAGCGGUGAAAUGCGUAGAGAUCGGGAGGAAUACCAGUGGCGAAGGCGGCCUUCUGGACUGACACUGACACUGAGGUGCGAAAGCGUGGGUAGCAAACAGGAUUAGAUACCCUGGUAGUC
Molecule: ribosomal RNA, 465 nt
Filed under: Vreelandella stevensii
Lineage: Bacteria; Pseudomonadati; Pseudomonadota; Gammaproteobacteria; Oceanospirillales; Halomonadaceae
Description: partial 16S ribosomal RNA
Rfam family: Bacterial small subunit ribosomal RNA
Source: RNAcentral